This is a non-coding RNA of Betaproteobacteria bacterium, 52 nucleotides long. NCBI's taxonomy places the organism in Bacteria, Pseudomonadati, Pseudomonadota, Betaproteobacteria. The record is from Rfam.
CGGGGGCGCCGCAGACCCCCCGCCCAAGACGCCUUCCGCGUCCAAGCUCUGC